UGUAACAGCAACUCCAUGUGGACUUGUCCUUUUCCAGUGGAGAUGCUGUUACUUU
Molecule: microRNA precursor, 55 nt
Filed under: Xenopus laevis (African clawed frog)
Lineage: Eukaryota; Metazoa; Chordata; Amphibia; Anura; Pipidae
Description: Xla-Mir-194-P2a_pre stem-loop
Rfam family: mir-194 microRNA precursor family
About the family: The hairpin precursors (represented here) are predicted based on base pairing and cross-species conservation -- their extents are not known.
Source: RNAcentral